AGAGUUUGACUCUGGCUCAGAUUGAACGCUGGCGGUAUGCUUAACACAUGCAAGUCGAACGGUAACAUAGAGAGCUUGCUCUUUGAUGACGAGUGGCGGACGGGUGAGUAACGCGUGGGAAUCUACCUAAUAGUUGGGGACAACCUGUUGAAAAGCAGGCUAAUACCGAAUGUGGUCUACGGACUAAAGCAGGGGAUCUUCGGACCUUGCGCUAUUAGAUGAGCCCGCGUUAGAUUAGCUAGUUGGUAGGGUAAAGGCCUACCAAGGCAACGAUCUAUAGCUGGUCUGAGAGGACGAUCAGCCACACUGGGACUGAGACACGGCCCAGACUCCUACGGGAGGCAGCAGUGGGGAAUAUUGGACAAUGGGCGCAAGCCUGAUCCAGCAAUACCGCGUGUGUGAAGAAGGCCUGAGGGUUGUAAAGCACUUUCAAUUGUGAAGAAAAGUUGUGGUUUAAUACGCCAUGACCUUGACGUUAACUUUAGAAGAAGCACCGGCUAACUCCGUGCCAGCAGCCGCGGUAAUACGGAGGGUGCGAGCGUUAAUCGGAAUUACUGGGCGUAAAGCGUGCGUAGGCGGUUAUUUAAGUCAGAUGUGAAAGCCCCGGGCUCAACCUGGGAACUGCAUUUGAAACUGGGUAACUAGAGUUUGGUAGAGGCGGGUAGAAUUCCUAGUGUAGCGGUGAAAUGCGUAGAUAUUAGGAGGAAUACCAGUGGCGAAGGCGGCCCGCUGGACCAAAACUGACGCUGAGGUACGAAAGCGUGGGGAGCAAACGGGAUUAGAUACCCCGGUAGUCCACGCCGUAAACGAUGUCAACUAGUCGUUGGGCCUUUCGGGGCUUAGUGACGCAGCUAACGCGUGAAGUUGACCGCCUGGGGAGUACGGCCGCAAGGUUAAAACUCAAAUGAAUUGACGG
Molecule: ribosomal RNA, 916 nt
Filed under: uncultured bacterium
Lineage: Bacteria
Description: bacterial SSU rRNA
Rfam family: Bacterial small subunit ribosomal RNA
Source: RNAcentral